RNAcentral lists this transfer RNA (82 nucleotides) under Schistocephalus solidus. It matches the Rfam family "tRNA". Rfam says of the family: Transfer RNA (tRNA) molecules are approximately 80 nucleotides in length. Their secondary structure includes four short double-helical elements and three loops (D, anti-codon, and T loops). The record is from Rfam by way of RNAcentral. Lineage: Eukaryota; Metazoa; Platyhelminthes; Cestoda; Diphyllobothriidea; Diphyllobothriidae.
GGUCUCGUAGCUCAGGUGGAUAGAGCGUUGGCUUACUAAAGCCUUCAUCUUGAUGGUGUGGUUUCGAAUCCCACCGAGGCCA